RNAcentral lists this transfer RNA (73 nucleotides) under Acidimicrobiia bacterium. RNAcentral describes it as "tRNA-Arg". It matches the Rfam family "tRNA". From Rfam's summary of the family: Transfer RNA (tRNA) molecules are approximately 80 nucleotides in length. Their secondary structure includes four short double-helical elements and three loops (D, anti-codon, and T loops). Lineage: Bacteria; Bacillati; Actinomycetota; Acidimicrobiia. RNAcentral also lists the same sequence under 1 other name. The record is from RNAcentral.
GCCCUCGUAGCUCAGUGGAUAGAGCGUCGGUUUCCUAAACCGUGCGUCGCAGGUUCAAUUCCUGCCGAGGGCG